CCUCUGCCUCAGUCUCCUCUUCUGGAAAGUGGGAUUGGAAACCACAUCUGCUUCUCUCCCAGGACUGCUAGGAAGACAAGAUUAGAUGGCAGGAAGGAAAAUACAUGUACAGCCAACUUCCUUGAGGAUUCGUUCUUUUGCAUCAGGGUGUCUCAAACUCCUGCCCUUAAAACACCUGCAAGAGAAUCAUCCAGGUGGCUUGCUCACUCUGCAUGCAGACCCUUUAGAAUCAGAGUCAGAAUCCCUGGGGCUGGAGCCACAAAAUGAAAUGACAUUUCAACAAGUUUGUCAUCACGUAAGAGAGAAUAGCUUGUCUUCUUCUCUCCCAGUAGAUUCUUCAUGAAGAGGCCAUGUGCUAUAUUCCAUGAGAUAUUUCACACUCAAAGAAGACUUCUUUUAUACUCUUUUGAUAAUUUGUCUGGGAAUCACUGUCUUGAUUUAUAAGGGAGUUUGUAAUAAAUACAGUAAAAGAGAAACACACAACGUAUUUUGAGACAUCAGAGAAGGGAGACACCAAUUCUAUUAAUAUUUGGGGUUAGCAGGGAAGGCUUAGUUAAGAGGUAACAUUUGAACUAAGCCUUGAAAUAAGGGAAGGAUUUGGCCAUGCAGUAAUGGGGAGAGAGUAGAAGCAAGACCUGAUAGUUAGUGUUAUGUAUCAAUUUGACUGGGCUGUGGGGUGCCCAAAUAUUUGGCUACACAUUAUUCUGGGUGUGUCUCUGAGGUAUUCUGGAUGAGGAUAACAUUUAAUUGGUAGACUGAAUAAAGCAGAUUGUCCUCCCCAAUGUGGGUGAGCCUCAUCCAAUCCACUGAAGGCCUGAACAAAACAAAAAGGUAAAGUCACAGAGAAUUUGCUCUUUUUACCUGAUUAUAUUUGAGCUGGGACAUCAAUCUUCUCCUGACUUUAGAUGUGGACUCGAGUUGGAACUAUAUCAUUGGCUGUCCUGGGUCCCCAGCUUGCUGGCUGCAGACUCCAGGACUCCUUAUCCUCCAUAACCAUGUGAGCCAUCCCUUACAACUAAUCAAUCUGUCUCUCUCUAUGUGUAUAGCUCUACCUCUAUCUCUCUGCUCUUUCUCUGGAGAACCUAGAGUAAUACACAAGGUUAUAUUAGAGAAGAGGAUGACCCAAGGGAAAGCAUGGAGACAGAAAAGUGCAAAGAGCAUUUGGGAAGACUGGGGUCCUGAUGGGGAGCUUGAAUUUCACUGUGUGUAGCAUGGAGAAUUAUUGAAAAUAUUCAAGAGGUGAAAAUUGUAUUCAUGGAAGAACACCAGGAGUAUGUGAAAAGAAAAACACUCACUCCAUUUUAACUCCACUGAAGGGGGCAUCAAAGGAAUGCACUGGGGACAUGGGUUGGAGGGUAGUUGAGGCCAUAUCUGGAGGAACUUUACUUCUAGGCUGAGUCUGAAGUUAUCUUUCUGGGGAGUGGGAGAUUACAAAUCUUUGAGCUCCACUCAAGAGAUGGUUUUGCUAACAAUGGCAGGGCGACGGUGGUGGUGGUGGUGGUGGUGGUGGUGGUGGUGGUGGUGGUGGUGGGAAACUGGUAUCAUGAAUUCUAAUUGGGCUUCUGUUAUCCUAGCCGAGAAAGUUGGGGAACGGACUUUCAGUAGAAUAAUAGAGAUCUGGGAAUCAACUGCAUGGAGGAGGUAGUUAUAGGUGAUGAGAUGGCUCAGGGACAAAGUUUGGUAGAAGGAGAAAAUUUACUAGGCUGGUACAAAAAUAAUUGCUAUUUUUGCCAUUACUUUUAAUGGCAAAAUCCGCAAUUACUUUUGCACCAACCUAAUAGGGUGCAAACUUCGGAGCCAUCUGCAUCAGAGGGAUUGAUGAAGAUCAACAAAGUUUGGGAACACAGGAAAGGAGCGGGGAAGGUAAUGACUUGAGGGCAUAGCAGGGAUAAUCAAGGUUUUUCUUGUUAGCAUGUAGAGACUUAAGCAUGAUUCUAUGUUAAACGCCUGGCACAUACAUGGUGCAAAAUAUUUAUGAGUGAAAUGACAAGUGAAGGUGGUGAGUCAUGGGAGUUCCAAGGGAACGGGUGAUAAAGGGAGGUCUCAAAUGAGGCACAAGUGGAGAAGGUAGCUUGGGAAAGGAGAAGGAUGCUUCUCCUUAUAACAUGGGAAAGGCAGAGGAAGAGGGUCAAGGUACAGUGAUCUAGGGGUGAGAUGGAAGUGAGUUGAGAGAACUCAACUCUGGGCUCUGAAAUCCCUAGGGAUGGGUUUGGGGGGCUUUGAGAUAUGUAAGAGGUUUAAAGUCAGUUGUUCUAGCAAAUAUGGUUUGGAAUUUAUUUGUGAUGCUUAAAAAUAUUGCUGAACAGAAGUGAAGUCUAUCCUAGAGUUGGAUGGUGAGAUUAUUUAGUGGAACUACCAGAUCCAUGUUGUGAUUCUUUCCAGUAUCAUUCAGCAGCCCUUGGGCAGUUGCGAGGCAAGUCAUCAAUGGGGUAUGGAGAUUUUCCAGGUGGGUGUGGUUGAAGGCAGGGAAGAACGAGUUCAGGAGCACAUUACAAGAAGAAGGUGACUGUAAGGUCCAGGCUGAGCAGGAAGGUAAAGCAAGAAGGAAACAUGAGGUUGUGAAGAGAAGUUUAGAGGGAUGAGGAGGCAGGAGAGAUGAACAGUUGCAGGAUGUAGCUAGAGUGGCGAUGUUAGAUCUUGGGGCCAGAGAACUUUACAAUGAUUAUGAAGAUCAAAGGGCAUUAGAAUCAAGCUAUAAAGAGCCACUGUUUGAUGUUGGGAUGUGAGGAUGCUGCAGGUGGAUGUCUGCACGUUGAUGGUGAGAACAUGGUCACCCUGGCCCUGCUGGGUCUUUGCUAAAGAGACUGUGCUCUGUUCUUGGGGCCGUUUUCAUCACCUGAUUAGAGCAGUGGUCCCCACAUGGUGUUCUUUGGACCAUCUGUAUAAAAUGUUCAUAGGUCAAGGAUAAAAUGGAAAAACAGAGAAAAUGUCACAGAAAUGUGCCCAUUGGUGAAAGACCACCAGCUGUCCUUUUUGGAGGAUUGUUCUUUAUUCCAAAAAUGUAUAUAUUCUAUUCUAUUAAAACAUUUUUGUAUUUGCA
Molecule: long non-coding RNA, 3040 nt
Organism: Homo sapiens (human)
Lineage: Eukaryota; Metazoa; Chordata; Mammalia; Primates; Hominidae
Exons: 3
Source: RefSeq, a predicted model, not a curated record